This 22-nucleotide microRNA is filed under the name Ornithorhynchus anatinus (platypus). Its description in RNAcentral is "oan-miR-1409-3p". Lineage: Eukaryota; Metazoa; Chordata; Mammalia; Monotremata; Ornithorhynchidae. The record is from miRBase by way of RNAcentral.
CAGCGCACUCAAGUUCUCAUGC